GUGAGAUGAUGAAUAAGUUUAUCCAUUCUCUGAGUGCUGCUAGCCUCCUAUCUCUGCAGCACCAGAGUCUGUUCUAGGCCUGAGUGUCCCUCAGCUCCCAGGUGCUGUGCUAGCAGUCCUGUGUUCUACUGGCUGCUUCUACUGGAUCUUGGUGAGCUGUUGCAGGAUAGGAGGGUCUGGCAGAGGUAGAAUCUACCUUAGCGAAGACGAGCGAUACAAUCUGAUCAC
Polyodon spathula (Mississippi paddlefish) is the source of this 228-nucleotide small nucleolar RNA. RefSeq annotates it as small nucleolar RNA SNORD17. The record is from RefSeq and is a predicted model, not a curated record. NCBI's taxonomy places the organism in Eukaryota, Metazoa, Chordata, Actinopteri, Acipenseriformes, Polyodontidae. The transcript has a single exon.